Molecule: long non-coding RNA, 6655 nt
Filed under: Sus scrofa (pig)
Lineage: Eukaryota; Metazoa; Chordata; Mammalia; Artiodactyla; Suidae
Description: lncRNA (ENSSSCG00015041108.1)
Source: RNAcentral
AUAGUACAGCCUUGGAAAGGUACCGGGCACACUGUGCAAGGAGCUUGGCUUUCAGAGGAUCGUGCAUUCUGCGAAAGCAGGGAUAGGACCCGUUUUGAUCAGUUCAGUAGCAUCUGUGGCGAAAUACAGGAGGUAACAUUCCCCCGACCCCCCCCCCCAAGCCUCUUUAGUUGAAUUCAUUUGUUUCUAGGUGGCUCAGAUGUGUAUAAUUUUUUUAGAAGAUAUAAGUCUUGGGCACAGGGGGGCUUGCAUUGUUCAGCUGCUCAGCGAUAACAGCCUUUUGGCGGGGCCUAGUCUUUAAUUGGCUGGAUGGGGAUUGAACCAGCAGGUCUGGUCUAUUCACAGUGCCAUAGGUGGCUAUAAUCUCUACUUGUUGGAUAAAAUGAAGAAGAUGAAAGCACAUCUAGGAAGUCUGAUGUAUUAAAAAAAAAUCUUUUAGUACCUUCUCUAGAAUCAGCAUGCAUUCAUUGUUCGUUAGGAGAAGAGAAAGAUGUUGAUUUAUAUCUUGGCUCAGGUGAGGCCAAAAAUAAAGAGUUUUCUGGCUUGAAUUGAUUUGACACCUGUUUCUUGAAUUGUGUUCACAGGUUUUUGGAGUUAAUUGUUAUAGGAAAAUAAUAAAGAGAAGAAAUUAUUUGGGGCAUCUUUUUUUGUUCUCGGUGUAAUUGUUUCAAGGUUUAUAUUAGAGAAUGACCCCCAAAUAUGUAGUCUAUAUUAUUUGCAGCAAAUGUAAGCUUUAGUACUUUGUGAUUUGUGCUCAAAAAAGGGUAGUCUUAACCAAUCAUGGGACAGGAAAAGUGUGUCGUUUUUAAAGCUUUCAACUCUAGUUUCAGUUCUUGUUUUAAAGCCAUAGCUGCUGACCUCUUGUUUCCUUUCACAUAAGUGGGAUAUUUGCAUAACUUCUAACAUGACCGCAAUGAUUUUCUCUUGCAUAUAUGCCUCUUGGAUGGAGGUUUAUAAAAUGAUUUAAUUGGAAUUCAAACAAAAUUUAACUGGAGGAUCAGACUGAAAGGGAUGAAUGAAGAUGAGAGGGAAAUUAGGAAUUGAAAUGUGUGUGCGUGUGUGUUUUAUGACCUUACUCUAGGGCCAGAAUAUUGUGGAAAAUGGUUUAUUUAUUUAUUUAUUAUUUUUUUAUUUUUUUGUCUUUUUGCCAUUUCUUGGGCCGCUCCCGCGGCAUAUGGAGGUUCCCAGGCUAGGGGUCAAAUCAGAGCUGUAGCUGCCAGCCUACGCCAGAGCCACAGCAACGCGGGAUCCAAGCCGCGUCUGCGACCUACACCACAUCUCACGGAAACGCCGGAUCGUUAACCCACUGAGCAAGGGCAGGGACCGAACCCGCAACCUCAUGGUUCCUAGUUGGAUUUGUUAACCACUGCGCCAUAACGGGAACUCCUGGAAAAUGGUUUAUUGAGAGAUAUAGAACACUACACUAAAGUGAAAGUAGGGAGGGAAAUGCAGAAAAAUGGGAGCAGGGUUGAAUUGUGUUGCUAAAACUUUUAUAAUAAUAUGACUCAACAGUUCAUUCAUCACUCUUUCUUACAGGUAAUGCAUUUAAAAUGCUAACUAAUACAACUUCGAAGUCACUAUAGUUGACAUAUAACACUGUGGGGUGAAGAAGGUGGAUGAGCUCUCCGUGACUGCAUAUAAGUAGAGAAAGUUUAUUGGGAGUCAUCAUGCUCAUGUUUACCCUCCUUCUCAUCAGCUUCCAUGUGAAACCAAAAGCUUGUCCAGAAUAUAUUUGUCAUGGCAUUGUCUACUCCCAGUAUUUUGUUACCCUGCUGUAAAAUCAAACAUAAUCCUGCUACCAGCAGAGAGACAGAGGGAAAUGAUAAUUCAAUAGCAUAUUUGAAAGAGAAUUGGAAAUAAGGUCAGAGGGGAAAAAAAAAAAAACAACAAAAUUAUUCAUUGAUGUCCUUAAUUUGUGCCAUCUAACUUAGAGAUGGCAGAUGUUGUAUGAUGUCAUCUACAACUAAACAUGGGGAGGGAAAUGUAUGUUUAGUAGGUGUUGGAAGAGGCCAUGGAGAGGACAGGGCCCACAGGGUGACCCAUGAGCUUGAUGCAGGUCAUUGGAGGCUCCUUACCCCUUGGAAUGUACCUUCUUCACACUAUUCCCACAGCCCAAGCCAUUUUCAAGGGCGUAGCCUUGAGAGAGUUAGGUACUGUUGAGGUCAACUGGGUGGUUUGGAAGAGGCUGAACCUAGUUAAAGCCUCUCUGUAAACUUUUAAGAAUCUGGCAGGUGGGUGGGGGAUCUACUCCUCUCGCCCAAGGCCGACCUUGUAUGUAAGAUCCUUUGCUUAUCAUACUGGCACCCAUCAACCUGGAGGGGUUCACCUCUUUCUUUGGUCUCUCAUUGUCCUCCAUGUAUAGGGCCUGGUUUUAAAUUUCUCCUGGGAAGUUCCCAAGUUUGGGAAUUAGCAGUAGUACAGUGAAGAAUACUUUUCACUUUUGUAUUGUUUGUUGGAUGUAUCAGGGCUCCAGUUCAUUUUGUGUUCAUUAAGGAUAAGGCAAACUCCUAUUACUAAAUUCCACAAGGAUAGUAGUGAAAAGUCCAUUUAUUCUAAGCCCAAGAAAAGGUUUUUAUGGCACAAGGCAUUAUUCUAUUUUCUCCAUGUUUUUAUAUGUAAGAAGCUUUUAAGCAAAUGAUAUGGUGAAGUGUUAAAAUUCAACAACCCUCUUCCCAUCCCUGUACUGUUUUUUUCUUCCUGGCCAAUGCUUGUGCAAAGGUUCAUAAAGUGAGGCUACAGAUGGUUUGUAAAUUAAUGAGCCAUGCAAUAUAAAACAUGUAUGCAAGAUUUCCAGGGAAUCAUAGACCAGACAGUGGCUGAAUUUUUUGAAGAUGCAUUUCUGGGCUUAAAGUAUAUGGUCCUUCUUAAUCUUUUUGGUCCUUUUAUUUGUUUUUCUUAUCCUGUUUUUCUGUAACAUGUAGAUAAUGUUUCCUUUCGAUAUUUCAUUUCAGAGUGUGCUUGCUUAAUGGCCUCUUUUCUUAGAGACCUUGAACAGAUGAGAGAGAGACGGGGGAAGAGAGAAAGAGAAGGGGAUUGAUUUAGAGGGAAGGUGAGAAAGUGAGUGUUUAAUUUCUUCAGUUUACCACCCUUAAAAAUAUUUUCAAGUUAUAUAACUACAUCUCUCGCUACAAGUUUAUUUACCCUUGGGCAUUAAAUUACCUACUUUUCGCAAAACUCUUCAUUUGGUAAAAGGUCCUAAGGUCUUUUCUCAAUUUGCAUCAUCCCGAACUCACUGCAAUACCUCAUGCUGUUUCUCAACACUCCUUCUAAGACAAUGAGCCCUGAGAGCAGGGCCUUGUGUGGUGCCCAUCACUGUGUUCCAGCAUCUAGCAUGCAGCCAGUUAUAUAAUGUUUGUUUAGUGACAGAUAUUUCUAGAAUGAAUGAGGUUUCCUCCCAUGCAUUCUGAGACACUGCAUUAUUCUCUUUCCUCCUAGUUCUCUCAGAUCUCAUUUUCUGACCCUUAGUUCUUCCUUUGCCCAUUUGGUGCAACUCUGCACCAAGUUCUGUCUUCAUUCUCUCUUCUCUCUCCCUAACAGUCUGUGGUUUUGUUGCAUCUUACCUGGAUGCAGAGGACUCCUGAGUCUUUAGCUCUGGCCCAGUCCCUUUCUAAGAUGCCAGAUGGGCACUUUCAUGCCCUAUUGUCAGACCCAUCAGUAAGUUUUAUCAGCACCUCAAAGUCAGCAUGUCAGAAAAGACAUAUCCUCUCUUCUAAGAACACUUGAUUGUUGAAAUUUUGACAAUGGUGACAUCUUCUGAGGCGUUUUAAAAAAUAAAGCAAAAGUAUUUCCUCUCUAUGGUACUUCACACCUUGAUUAUUUCCUUGCCUUCCAUGCAAAAUCAAUCACCAAGCCUCAUGAGUCUCUUCUAGCUUUUAUGUCUAACUCCUCCUCCAGUUCCCAUUGUACCAUUCAAAGUUACUUCCUAGGCCAUCAUAGUUGUCUCCUAUUUGCCCUAAGAGCCACUCCCUACCUAACCAAAUAAAUUCACUAAAACCUGAUUUGAGUCAGACCAUUCUCUCGUUCAAAACCUUUUAAUAACUUCCCAUUACUUAUAGAACAAAAAAUACUAUUUUCUUAGUUUGAUGGUCGAGUCUUCCAUGAUAUGGUGGCAAUCCUCUAUCCCAACAUUACCUUCCAGGAUUCUUCUCAAUCUAUACCUUAAACUGCUAAACUGAACUCUCCCCUAGUUCCCACAUAUAGCUCAUGUUGUACCUACAGCUUAGAAUGAACCUCCUGCCCUGACAUAACCCACUGAACAUUGUUGACUGUUCAACACUGAACACAUCCUUCAAGACUCAUCUUAAAUGCAAUGUCUUUCUCAGUGCAGCCUUACUGAUUUUUUUUCUUGCCUUCUCCCCAAAGAAUUAUCCUAUGACUUUUCCUUUUAUUUUGACUCAUAUCUGAAUGACAAGGCAGAAUAAACCUUGUCUGUUUUCUUUGCAGUCUUAAGUUGUAAUUCCUUGAUGGUGGGUACCAAACUUGAAUUACUAAUUUUUGUACCCCUGCUAAUGACUGGCACAAUGCUUCAGAGAACAGUAGGUCCUUAAAACAUAAUUAUGGAAAUGAAACAUCAUUUGCCAGUGGUUGACCUAUCAAAGACCCAUACAGUUCACAUCUGAUGGCUUGUUAAGGCAUCUACUUGAAGUGGUGGUGUUUUGGCUUUCUGUCUUUUGCAUUCAAUGGGCCAAGCCUAUGAGUAGAGUAAUGUGACACCAAGACAGUAUUCCCCAGAACUGUGCAUGCUCCUUCAUCUAUAAUACAUGGCUAGGAGAGUGUCCACCAUUUCUGAAGAAGAGCUUAAUAAGUAACCAGUGUUUGUGUGUUUAGAGCAACAGUCAGUGUCAUCUUUGGAUAUUGUUGCUAUGACUCUCCCUCAUCUUUAAUACCUUCCAGACCCAUCACCUCCUGGGUCAGUUCAGGGGUCCCUCAGUGAGUGAUUUUCACCUCCUGUGGCUCCCUUCCCUAUAAAAUAGUGGAAAUAUGAGUUACAUACUCCCUCUGAAUCAUGAUUAUGAUUGCCAAUAGUAGCCUGAGGUAGUGUCACAGAGAAUAGUCUUCUUAACAUUUGCCAGCCCAGAGCCUAAAUGGCUAUGCCACCAUGUCUAUCAUUAUUAUCGUCAUUAUCUUCAGGAGAGGAUAAAUCUUUUCAGGAUAGCAGUGGCCAUGGGAAGGAGUGGAAAAUUUUUAAAAAUUGAGACAUCAUUCAGUGCGUACAUACCCAUUUCCUUAGGUGCAUUUUCUUUCAUAUCAGACCUCAUGGAAUCAGGCUGUGUUGGGAGGGAAUUAGAAGAACUGUGGAAAUCAUGGUGGGGCUGAGAUGAGGUUCAGCUCUUUUACUCUCACCACUGGGGCUGUCUGCCUUCUUGCCCAGUCACUGCUAUAGGCUGCUCAAUACACAUGUAUUUGUGUAUAAGAUUAGAAACUCUGAAAACAGAGAGACACUCAAGUGUUUAAACAUGUAAGUUCUCCAGACACUCUGACAAUCUAAUGAACACUUUGAACAUGGAUAUAAAGAUAACGUUUGCCAUAUUGAGCACUUGGCCUUCAUGCUCAACAUGUUAAGGGCUGACUUUGCUUCCCCAAUGGACACAGCCCGUGUGGUUGAAUGGCUCUCCCACUGGAGAUAGGUUGUCUCUUUGGAUAUAUCAUUGACCUUUCAGAAACUUCUCUCUGCUACAUAUUCUACAACAGUUAUUUUUUAGGUAAAAACAAGUAGUCGAUCUAUUUUAUAAUAACAGUGCAUGACUUUAUAGUUACCUGGAUUCGGACUGCCUCAGUUAGAGAAAUGUUCUCUCAGGUAUUCAGGCAGCAUCUGCUCUUGAAUAGUGACUAAAAAGUCUUUAGGGAAUUAGAACUGGCAAUUUUUUUAUAGGCCUUUACUUUAAAAGAGGUCUUGGAGAAGAAAUAGACAUCAUCUCCAGAUGUGAAGACUUCUUAAUGUUUGAAAGAUCUUUUGAGUAAAGCAGUUUAUUUAAAAAAUGACAUAAUCUGCAGCCCAAAUAGCAAUUAAAACAAGUUUGACCAAUAUAGUAGUCACUACAGUCUAAUGCCUGUGAGCUUUCUGUUUCUCUGUCUUCAUUGUAAUAGAGCCUUCUCAUGGUGUUACAGAUACUAAAGUGCCCUCAAGAAUAUCCCCAAAUAUCAUUUUUUCCCCCUCAGGGAAGACUUGACUUGCAAAAGUCUUCAUGAACUUCAGACUAAAAUUGGGUAAAAAUAGCACACCUAUUAAACUGAUCUACAUCUCAGUAUGGAUAUCCUGCCAGGGCCUUUAUUUUGCAUUGUGACUUUUUGUACUUUAAAUUUUCAUUAGAUUAGCUUGAGAAACCACUUACAAACAUUUUGGUCUAGCCCAUACUUUUAAUCUAUGUUUUGUAUGUGGUAAGUGCUCCAGAGAUGUGUUGAAUGAGUAAAAGGAUCCUAGGAGAUCCCAUUGUGAUGCAACAGAAACAAAUCCAACUAGUAAUCCAUGAGGAUGCAGGUUUGAUCCCUGACCUCACUCAGUGGGUCGGGGAUCUUGUGUUGCCUUGAGCUGUGGGGUAGGUUGCAAAUGCAGCUCAGAUCCCAUGUGGCUGUGGUGUAGGGUGGCAGCUAAAGCUCAGAUUCAAACCCUAGCCUGGGAACUUCCAUAUGCCACCAGUACAGCCCUAAAAAAAAA